GUAGUUUGAUCCUGGCUCAGGAUGAACGCUAGCGACAGGCCUAACACAUGCAAGUCGAGGGGCAGCACAUGAGUAGCAAUACGAUGGUGGCGACCGGCGCACGGGUGAGUAACACGUAUGCAACCUACCUGUAAGAGGGGAAUAACCCGGAGAAAUUCGGACUAACACCGCAUAAUACCGAUUAACUGCAUGGUUGAUCGGUUAAAUAUUUAUAGCUUACAGAUGGGCAUGCGUAACAUUAGAUAGUUAGUGAGGUAACGGCUCACCAAGUCAACGAUGUUUAGGGGUUCUGAGAGGAAGGUCCCCCACACUGGUACUGAGACACGGACCAGACUCCUACGGGAGGCAGCAGUGAGGAAUAUUGGUCAAUGGGCGAGAGCCUGAACCAGCCAAGUCGCGUGAAGGAAGAAGGUUCUAUGGAUUGUAAACUUCUUUGUAAGGGAAUAAAAAGAGUUACGUGUAACUUAUUGUAUGUACUUUACGAAUAAGGAUCGGCUAACUCCGUG
Molecule: ribosomal RNA, 506 nt
Filed under: uncultured Paludibacter sp.
Lineage: Bacteria; Pseudomonadati; Bacteroidota; Bacteroidia; Bacteroidales; Paludibacteraceae
Description: bacterial SSU rRNA
Rfam family: Bacterial small subunit ribosomal RNA
Source: RNAcentral